Molecule: ribosomal RNA, 417 nt
Filed under: uncultured beta proteobacterium
Lineage: Bacteria; Pseudomonadati; Pseudomonadota; Betaproteobacteria
Description: bacterial SSU rRNA
Rfam family: Bacterial small subunit ribosomal RNA
Source: RNAcentral
GAGUUUGAUCUUGGCUCAGAUUGAACGCUGGCGGCAUGCCUUACACAUGCAAGUCGAGCGGCAGCGCGGGGGCAACCCUGGCGGCGAGCGGCGCACGGGUGAGUAAUGCAUCGGAACGUGUCCUCUUGUGGGGGAUAACCAGUCGAAAGACUGGCUAAUACCGCAUGAGCACGAGAGUGGAAAGCGGGGGACCGUAAGGCCUCGCGCGAGAGGAGCGGCCGAUGCCGGAUUAGCUAGUUGGCGGGGUAAAAGCCCACCAAGGCGACGAUCCGUAGCUGGUCUGAGAGGACGACCAGCCACACUGGGACUGAGACACGGCCCAGACUCCUACGGGAGGCAGCAGUGGGGAAUUUUGGACAAUGGGGGCAACCCUGAUCCAGCCAUGCCGCGUGUGUGAAGAAGGCCUUCGGUUGUAAG